RNAcentral lists this ribosomal RNA (662 nucleotides) under uncultured bacterium. RNAcentral describes it as "partial 16S ribosomal RNA". The record is from RNAcentral.
GCACCUUCCGAUACGGCUACCUUGUUACGACUUUACCCCAGUCAUGAACCCUGCCGUGGCAGUCGCCCUCCUUGCGGUUAGGCUAACGGCUUCUGGCAAAACCCACUCCCAUGGUAUGACGGGCGGUGUGUACAAGACCCGGGAACGUAUCCACCGCGACAUUCUGAUCCGCGAUUACUAGCGAUUCCAGCUUCACGUAGUCGAGUUGCAGACUACGAUCCGGACUACGAUGCAUUUUCUGAGAUUAGCUCCCCCUCGCGGGUUGGCAACCCUCUGUAUGCACCAUUGUAUGACGUGUGAAGCCCUACCCAUAAGGGCCAUGAGGACUUGACGUCAUCCCCACCUUCCUCCGGUUUGUCACCGGCAGUCUCUUUAGAGUGCUCUUGCGUAGCAACUAAAGACAAGGGUUGCGCUCGUUGCGGGACUUAACCCAACAUCUCACGACACGAGCUGACGACAGCCAUGCAGCACCUGUGUUCACUUUCCCUUACGGGCACAUAAUGUAUCUCUACUUCGUUAGUGACAUGUCAAGGGUAGGUAAGGUUUUUCGCGUUGCAUCGAAUUAAUCCACAUCAUCCACCGCUUGUGCGGGUCCCCGUCAAUUCCUUUGAGUUUUAAUCUUGCGACCGCACUCCCCAGGCGGCUGACUUCACGCGUUAGCU